Molecule: long non-coding RNA, 1197 nt
Filed under: Heterocephalus glaber (naked mole-rat)
Lineage: Eukaryota; Metazoa; Chordata; Mammalia; Rodentia; Bathyergidae
Description: lncRNA (ENSHGLG00100043610.1)
Source: RNAcentral
CUCUCUUCCAAGUUUUCAUUGUUUACUCUCCAGGUCCAUGAUCAACAAAUUCUAAUCUCAGGCUGGGGCUGUAGCUUCGCGGUAGGGUGUUUGCAUAGCACACAUAAGACCCUAGGUUGAUCCUCAGCACAAAAAAAAUUACCUGACCUGGGGGUGUUGUUGUUGUUGUGUUUGGGGGGGCAUAUUUUUGUUUUUUAAGACAGGGUCUCACUAAGUUGUCCAAGUCAGCCUUGAGCUCCCUAUGUAGCCCAGGCUGACCUCUAAGUCCUGCUGCCUCAGCCAGAUUUUCUUUACUGCCCUCUGUCUGCAUUCCCUAUCAGUGACUCAGAAUGCUUUAUACCCCAAAUUCUUUUAUCCCUUAAGUCAUUGAUACAUACAUCCUAUGUUCCCAUCAGUCUCUUAGCAGUUUUAUCAACCACUCCUUUGAUACCUAUUUUUUUACCUUAACUAAAAAUAAAUACAAUUUAAAGUUGUUUCUCAGUCUCAGUACAUUUGGCUAAUGGUUACCAUCUUGUGGGCUAUGCAAAUACAGAACAUUUCCAUCCUCAGAAAACUUGGUCACCACAGAGAAUCACGGCCUCGGCUGUAGAUUUACAGUGUGUUGGAAACGUGAAGCUCAUUCACUCCUGUACGGCUAUGGAAUAGAUGAGGCUUGUGCAUCAUUAGAAAGAAUACUGCUCAAUAAAAUGAACUGAUACACGCUCCCACAUGGAAGAAGUGGACCCCAAAGUGUUUACAUCAUAUGGUUCCAUUAUAUGAAAUCGAAGAACAGACAAAACUAAUCUAUGGUGAUAGAAAUCAGAAGUGGCUGCAGGGAAGUAAUCAGAAAAAGGAAUAAGAAACUUUCUUGGGUGAUGCGUUCUACUUCCUAAAGUAGUUGAUAAACUGUCAAAAGUAACUGAACUGAACACCUAAGACCCAUUUAUCUCUUACUUGCUAAUUAUUUUAAAUGUUUUGAUCAUGUAGAAGGGAUGUUGAGUUGUGCACACAACUCACCAGUCUCCAAAAGUGCUUGCAUGUGCUUGGCAACAGGAACAGUGUGGGCACACUAGUAGACCUUGGUGAGAAGAUCUGAACUAAAGCUUGGCCAUAAACAGUAUAAACUAAGGAGAUAUUCAUUUCAAGUCUUUAAAAAAGCUAAAUUCAUUCCUAAGGGCUUUGUCAUAAUGCUCCUAUUCUAUUGUUGGAUAGCCCUAC